CCCCAGACUCCUACGGGAGGCAGCAGUGGGGAAUAUUGCACAAUGGGGGGAACCCUGAUGCAGCGACGCCGCGUGGGUGAAGGAGCACCUCGGUGCGUAAGGCCCUAUCGGCAGGGAAGAAACAGACGGUACCUGACUAAGAAGCCCCGGCUAACUACGUGCCAGCAGCCGCGGUAAUACGUAGGGGGCAAGCGUUAUCCGGAUUCACUGGGUGUAAAGGGGGCGCAGACGGCAGCGCAAGCCAGGAGUGAAAGCCCGGGGCCCAACCCCGGGACUGCUCUUGGAACUGCGCGGCUGGAGUGCAGGAGGGGCAGGCGGAAUUCCUGGUGUAGCGGUGAAAUGCGUAGAUAUUAGGAGGAACACCAGUGGCGAAGGCGGCCUGCUGGACGAUGACUGACGCUGAGGCUCGAAAGCGUGGGGAGCAAACAGGAUUAGAUACCCGAGUA
Molecule: ribosomal RNA, 446 nt
Filed under: uncultured bacterium
Lineage: Bacteria
Description: partial 16S ribosomal RNA
Rfam family: Bacterial small subunit ribosomal RNA
Source: RNAcentral